CCAGGGGGCCGGGCAGCCGCGUCAUCGUUUCAUCGAUGCCGAGGAAAGUCCGGGCUCCAUGAAACAAGGGUGGCGGGUAACGCCCGCCGGGGGCAACUCCAGGGACAGUGCCACAGAGAACAGACCGCCACACCGGAGCGAUCCGGCGGCAAGGGUGAAACGGUGCGGUAAAAGCGCACCGCGCGCGCCGGUAACGGCCGCGGCACGGUAAACCCCACCCGGAGCAAGACCGAAUAGGGACUUCGCGCCGGAUAUCCGGCAGGCGGGUUUCACGCCAUGGGUUUCGGCCCAGCGCAGUCCGGGUUGGUUGCUUGAGCCACGCAGCAAUGCCUGGCCUAGAGGAAUGGCUGCCCGUGCCGAUACGGUCCGAUAUCGGAUACCGUCGGCACGACAGAACCCGGCUUACAGGCCCCCUGGCAUC
This 421-nucleotide RNase P RNA is filed under the name Novosphingobium sp. FSW06-99. RNAcentral's name for it is "Bacterial RNase P class A". It matches the Rfam family "Bacterial RNase P class A". Rfam says of the family: Ribonuclease P (RNase P) is a ubiquitous endoribonuclease, found in archaea, bacteria and eukarya as well as chloroplasts and mitochondria. Its best characterised activity is the generation of mature 5'-ends of tRNAs by cleaving the 5'-leader elements of precursor-tRNAs. The record is from Rfam by way of RNAcentral. Lineage: Bacteria; Pseudomonadati; Pseudomonadota; Alphaproteobacteria; Sphingomonadales; Sphingomonadaceae.